This is a long non-coding RNA of Eucalyptus grandis, 1520 nucleotides long. RefSeq lists it as uncharacterized. The record is from RefSeq and is a predicted model, not a curated record. The transcript is spliced from 2 exons. NCBI's taxonomy places the organism in Eukaryota, Viridiplantae, Streptophyta, Magnoliopsida, Myrtales, Myrtaceae.
UUAAGGGGACAUGCAAUUAAUGGGAUGGAUAAGUGGCUGAUUUUCUUUCCUUCGUGGCUUCCCCAACACGCCGAACAGCUGCCCUCCAUCUUGGUCGCCGACCUCCGCACGUCUCUUUCCCUCGAACGCCAGCUACCCCGCUGAUCUUUUACUUCAGUUUGUUUCCUCAAAGCUGAGCGGCCACAAAAUCCUCUCCCCUGAACGACAGCCUCGGUCUUCCACCAGCCUGCUUUCAUUUUUCUCUCGCAACCCAUUCCCAGCAUCGACUUCAAUCUCUCCUCCACGCUGCCACUUGGCUGCGUCUGCCCAUUGCUCGGUCAACAAACGAGUAUUUGAAGACCACCGAGUGAAGUCUCCACCGUUUGCUGCAGCUCCUUUCCUCUCCGUAGGCCAGCGAAGCCCCACGCGGAUCCAGCAACUUCCACCGGUUUUGCCCCACCAUCUCUUGCUUUUUUUCGGUCAAUCUCCAGCCAGCGAAGCCCAAGCGGUUGACCGAAGCUGCUGCCCGUGUGUCGCCCAGCGAAACAAUUGAAACGAGCCGCAGCUGACCGCCCAUCUUCUUCACGGCUUUUGCUUCAGCAAAGGACGAGCUGCUUCAUCUUUUCUUCUGGACGAACAGCACGCUCAGUUCCCCUCCACAUCCGUGACUCACCACCGCCUCCAGCUCACGACUCCACCAGCGACUUCGCAGCAAGUUUCCUCCCAUCUUGUUGACCACCGAGCGAAGCUGCUUCUCCUCUUUGCUGCGCCAAUUGAAGCCAGCAAAGCCUGCAUCAGUCAGUUCGUCCAUUUCUCCUCUUGCGCGAGUCUUCGGUCAGCUGAAGUCCAUGCGCCCAGCCGCUGAGUCAACCGAAGUCGCACUCCAGCGAAGCCCGUAAUUUCCAGCAUCUUUAGCCCAGCAUCACCGAAACUGAAGCCUAGCUUCUUCGUGCCAGCAACCCAAGAAGCCGGCCCACCUUCAACAAAUCAGCCAGCCCAGCUCAGCCCAGCUAAAAUCUUUAGUGCAGUCCAGCUUUGAAGCCCGUGAAAAUAGGCCCACUUGAAGUGCAGCCCAUCUUCAGUUUUUGGCUCAACCUUCAGCAGCCCAAUUUUGCAGCCCAAGCCCGCGAAGCAAGUCAGCCCAAGCUCAGGCCCAAGUUCGGUCCAAGCCCAGAAAUUUUUGUGGACUUGCAAGGCUUGUAGGCCCAGCCCAAGUGUCCGUCGACGCCGCCGAAAGUUCGGGUUUCGGCCGCCGUUGCGUCGCCAUCGCGGUGAUCUGGUCCCCGCUUUUAAUCAAGACCCUGAUGAGGAGCCUGAGGAGAAAGAAACCGAAGAGGAGUACUUGGAGGAGAACCCCGAUGAUGAUCUGAGUAUGAAUCGGAUGAGAACUGAAAUCCCGUCAUCUUUUAGGAAUCCUGUCUAAAUGUGAAUGGUGUGAGACUAGAACGUUAUGAAUAGUCUUGUGAAUAGACUUCGAGUUAUGCCAUGUAUAAAAGUUUGGUUGUGGAUUUCAAUAUGAAAAAUAUGGCCUUAAUUUUCUA